AAGAGAGAGACAUGCGCGCAUAUCAAUAAGCGGAGGAAAAGAAACUAACAAGGAUUCCCUUAGUAACGGCGAGUGAAGCGGGAAGAGCUCAAAUUUGAAAUCUUCAAGGUUUUACCUUGACGAAUUGUAGUUUAAAGAAGUGUUUUCUGCUGAAGUUUUGGUAAAAGUUCUUUGGAAUAGGACAUCAUAGAGGGUGAGAAUCCCGUAUUUGACCAUUAUUUUCAGCUUUGUGAUACACUUUCAAAGAGUCGGAUUGUUUGGGAAUGCAGUCCAAAAUGGGUGGUAAAUUUCAUCUAAAGCUAAAUAUUGGCGAGAGACCGAUAGCGAACAAGUACCGUGAGGGAAAGAUGAAAAGAACUUUGAAAAGAGAGUUAAACAGUACGUGAAAUUGUCAAAAGGGAAGCGUUUGACACCAGUGUUGUUUUCUCGAAAAUCAAUUAAAAAUGGCUCGAUUUUGUAUUGCUGAGACCUUAAAAGCUCACUGUACAUUUUUCGUGUCUUUUUUAAUGCACUUUUCGUUUAAAAAGUCAACAUCAGUUUCUUUUGUUGUAAAAGGGUCAUUGGAAGGUGGCUUUCUUUUCGGAGAAAGUGUUUAUAGCCUUUGGCCUCUGCAAUCGGAGAGGACUGAGGUCUGCAGCGUAGACUCUUCGGGGUUAGAUACAUUUGUGCUAAGUUAUAGCUUUUUAUAGACAACUUGUUGACUAUAAUUAGUCUUGUAGCUUACUCGCUUAUGCUAUUUUACCUACGCUUAGGAUGUUGAGUCGUAGAGCACGCAG
RNAcentral lists this ribosomal RNA (776 nucleotides) under uncultured Neocallimastigales. RNAcentral describes it as "partial large subunit ribosomal RNA". It matches the Rfam family "Eukaryotic large subunit ribosomal RNA", at positions 23 to 634 of the family's 3401-position model. Lineage: Eukaryota; Fungi; Neocallimastigomycota; Neocallimastigomycetes; Neocallimastigales. The record is from RNAcentral.